CAGCCGCCGCGGUAAUACGUAGGGUGCAAGCGCUAAUCGGAAUUACUGGGCGUAAAGCGUGCGCAGGCGGUUUGUUAAGACAGAUGUGAAAUCCCCGGGCUCAACCUGGGAACUGCAUUUGUGACUGGCAGGCUAGAGUAUGGCAGAGGGGGGUGGAAUUCCGCGUGUAGCAGUGAAAUGCGUAGAUAUGCGGAGGAACACCGAUGGCGAAGGCAGCCCCCUGGGCCAAUACUGACGCUCAUGCACGAAAGCGUGGGGAGCAAACAGGAUUAGAUACCCCCGUAGUCCCUGUCUCUUAUAC
Molecule: ribosomal RNA, 301 nt
Filed under: uncultured bacterium
Lineage: Bacteria
Description: partial 16S ribosomal RNA
Rfam family: Bacterial small subunit ribosomal RNA
Source: RNAcentral